This 1254-nucleotide long non-coding RNA is filed under the name Helianthus annuus (common sunflower). RNAcentral's name for it is "hypothetical non coding rna". The record is from RNAcentral. Lineage: Eukaryota; Viridiplantae; Streptophyta; Magnoliopsida; Asterales; Asteraceae.
UUUUUUCCCAGCAGCCCACUCUUCGAGUCAGAUUCGCUUACAAGGAUGAGGUUUAUUAAGAUCCGUCAAGCAAAUCUCCAAUGGCGUCUUGUUGAACGACACUCACAACAACAAGUGUCUCAUGCGACGUGUUUUUGAGCUUCAGAAAGAUCUUCAUCAAUUUACCAUCAAAGAACAAACACAAACUUCAUAUAACAAAUGGCAGAAAUAUGAAAUAUGAAACUGCAAGGCGGUAUGGUUGGCGAGCGCUUUUGAAAACUAUGAUUUCAAUAAGCUACCAAUGCUACAACUUAAUAGGUGACAAAAAAAACUAAAGGGAGCAUCAAAGAUUUUAAAUUUGAAUUAGGAUUUUGUAUGUACAAUGUAGGGAUGGCAAUGGGUCGGGUUUGGGACGGGUUUAGGUAAUCCCAAACCCAAACCCAAACCCGGUUAGAUAAGCUUAUCCCAAACCCGUCCCAAAACCCGUCGGGUUUCUAACGGGUAAAUACCCAUCGGGUAUCGGGUAUACCCAUUGGGUAUCAGGUAUACCCGCGGGUUACGGGUAAACCCAUUAAUUUAAAAAGAUUACCCGUUGGGUAUACUCAUCUCAAAACCCAUUGGGUAUUUAUCGGGUAACUACUAACCGGUUACAUUUUGUAUUGUCAUUAUAAAAAUAUAUAUCAAAUAACUACAAUGUAUACGGAAUAGAAUACCUAUAUGUGUAAAAAAAUGGAGAAAAGAUAUGGUAAACCCAAGGAAGUAUGCGGUUCAAUCGGAUUGGAAAGCUCAUAUCAAGAUUUGCAGCAAUAGAGAGAUGGAAGAUAUUGUUGUCUAACACUCAAGAGAUGCUUCACUUCCAAUGAACGCCGGUGGUAGUGGUGGUGGCGGCAACGGUGGCGAACUUCUCCAAGAUAUAGUUGGUGGAGUGUUAGACAACAAUAUUGACGGCGGUGGUGGUGGCGGACUGCUCUAAGAUAUAGUUGGUGGUGGCGGCAACGGUGGUGGACUGCUCCAAGAUAUAGUUGGUGGAGUCUUAGACAACAAUGACAUCAGUGGAGCAAAACCAACGUCACCACUUUUGUUAGACUCACCACCGGAAAUGAUAUAUGAUGAACCGCGAUGGUCGUGGUAUUUUGAUUAAAGAUGAUGCUGAUAGGAGAAUCUAUAUAUACAAUAUAUAAUAUUGUGUACGGUAUUUUCAUUAUAAUAUUGUGUACGGUAAUUUCAUCGAUCAUUAUCCUCCUAUAUAAUAAAGGAAAAGUUGAUAGGUCACGU